CAGCAGCAGCCACGGUAAUACGUAGGGUGCAAGCGUUAAUCGGAAUUACUGGGCGUAAAGCGUGCGCAGGCGGUUAUAUAAGACAGAUGUGAAAUCCCCGGGCUCAACCUGGGAACUGCAUUUGUGACUGUAUAGCUAGAGUACGGCAGAGGGGGAUGGAAUUCCGCGUGUAGCAGUGAAAUGCGUAGAUAUGCGGAGGAACACCGAUGGCGAAGGCAAUCCCCUGGGCCUGUACUGACGCUCAUGCACGAAAGCGUGGGGAGCAAACAGGAUUAGAUACCCGCGUAGUCCCUGUCUCUUAUAC
RNAcentral lists this ribosomal RNA (304 nucleotides) under uncultured bacterium. RNAcentral describes it as "partial 16S ribosomal RNA". It matches the Rfam family "Bacterial small subunit ribosomal RNA", at positions 506 to 807 of the family's 1533-position model. The record is from RNAcentral.